RNAcentral lists this ribosomal RNA (434 nucleotides) under uncultured bacterium. RNAcentral's name for it is "partial 16S ribosomal RNA". It matches the Rfam family "Bacterial small subunit ribosomal RNA", at positions 29 to 507 of the family's 1533-position model. The record is from RNAcentral.
AGCGAACGCUGGCGGCAGGCCUAACACAUGCAAGUCGAACGAACCUCUCGGGGUUAGUGGCGGACGGGUGAGUAACACGUGGGAACGUGCCUUUAGGUUCGGAAUAACUCAGGGAAACUUGUGCUAAUACCGAAUGUGCCCUUCGGGGGAAAGAUUAAUCGCCUUUAGAGCGGCCCGCGUCUGAUUAGCUAGUUGGUUGAGGUAAUGGCUCACCAAGGCGACGAUCAGUAGCUGGUCUGAGAGGAUGAUCAGCCACAUUGGGACUGAGACACGGCCCAAACUCCUACGGGAGGCAGCAGUGGGGAAUCUUUCGCAAUGGGCGAAAGCCUGACGCAGCCAUGCCGCGUGAAUGAUGAAGGUCUUAGGAUUGUAAAAUUCUUUCACCGGGGACGAUAAUGACGGUACCCGGAGAAGAAGCCCCGGCUAACUUCGUG